Penaeus vannamei (Pacific white shrimp) is the source of this 274-nucleotide non-coding RNA. The record is from RefSeq and is a predicted model, not a curated record. NCBI's taxonomy places the organism in Eukaryota, Metazoa, Arthropoda, Malacostraca, Decapoda, Penaeidae.
UUUUCCAGACCGGGGAGUUCAAAGACCAGUGUCAGGAAGAAUGUGAUCGCUAUAACAUCAGUAUAGUUAAAGAUCUGAGUAUUGGAGAGAAACCGUGUUCUUUCCUCGAUGAAAAGGAUUGCCGCUUUGACUUUGCUUACGAAAUUGACAGAGAUUCAGGCAACGUCUUGCUGUGGGCGAAGCAGGACUUGGACUGCCCGGAACCAGUCAACACAACAGGCGUGAUCAUCGGAGUCAUCGGAGCUGUGUUGACCGUCGGCGUAUUGGCUCUUGU